CCUACCAGUGGAUGGCUCGGUUCAAGUGCCGAAGAAGGG
RNAcentral lists this ribosomal RNA (39 nucleotides) under Methanoregula boonei. RNAcentral describes it as "partial 23S ribosomal RNA". The record is from RNAcentral. Lineage: Archaea; Methanobacteriati; Methanobacteriota; Methanomicrobia; Methanomicrobiales; Methanoregulaceae.